CGUGUAGGCUGUCGUGCAAGUCGGAUGUGAAAGCCCAGGGCUCAACCUUGGAAGUGCACUCGAAACUGCAAGACUUGAAUCUCGGAGAGGGUGGCGGAAUUCUGGGUGUAGAGGUGAAAUUCGUAGAUAUCCAGAGGAACACCGGUGGCGAAGGCGGCCACCUGGACGAGUAUUGACGCUGAGACGCGAAAGUGUGGGGAGCAAACAGGAUUAGAUACCCUGGUAGUCC
This 229-nucleotide ribosomal RNA is filed under the name uncultured bacterium. RNAcentral's name for it is "partial 16S ribosomal RNA". It matches the Rfam family "Bacterial small subunit ribosomal RNA", at positions 568 to 796 of the family's 1533-position model. The record is from RNAcentral.